CAUAUAUAGCAGGGAAACUUGCCAAUAUGAGCUAAUUAUAUAGUAACAAACUGAAUACAAGUAGCAAAUAUCAGUAUGUUACAAAAAAGGAAGCAAACAGCCGUCAAAUAUAGCAGAAGUGUAACUGUGUAGUGAACAGUUAUACAUCUAAAAUAAAAGCCUUCCUUAAGUUUGCUGACCAACGGUGGUGCUGAAUAGUAUACAAAUCUUCCCAAAGUCACAAAAUAUGUUUGAAAUAGACUUUAUUGGGCGAAAAGAUAUGUUAAAACUUAUAAUUGCAUAAAAUCAGCUCACAGAAAGCGGAUAAAAGGGAGCUUUCCUGUUGAUGUCUUCCCCCAAGUGUUUCUGCAGACUCUCGGUAUACUGCCUCCUCAAAGCCGGCUUCAGAGAUAGUAUCGGUCGUGGUGAGAAACAGCUCGUCGAGGGGAUCCACCGAUUUGACGGCUGUUUGCUUCCUUUUUUGUAACAUACUGAUAUUUGCUACUUGUAUUCAGUUUGUUACUAUAUAACUAGCUCAUAUUGGCAAGUUUCCCUGCUAUAUAU
Non-coding RNA from Pelobates cultripes (western spadefoot toad), 543 nucleotides. Lineage: Eukaryota; Metazoa; Chordata; Amphibia; Anura; Pelobatidae. The record is from the annotation of a GenBank genome assembly.